RNAcentral lists this ribosomal RNA (804 nucleotides) under uncultured bacterium. RNAcentral describes it as "bacterial SSU rRNA". It matches the Rfam family "Bacterial small subunit ribosomal RNA", at positions 8 to 806 of the family's 1533-position model. The record is from RNAcentral.
AGAGUUUGAUCCUGGCUCAGAUUGAACGCUGGCGGCAUGCCUUACACAUGCAAGUCGAACGGCAGCACGGACUUCGGUCUGGUGGCGAGUGGCGAACGGGUGAGUAAUACAUCGGAACAUGCCUAGUAGUGGGGGAUAACUACUCGAAAGAGUGGCUAAUACCGCAUGAGAUCCACGGAUGAAAGCAGGGGAUCGCAAGACCUUGUGCUACUAGAGCGGCCGAUGGCAGAUUAGGUAGUUGGUGGGAUAAAAGCUUACCAAGCCAACGAUCUGUAGCUGGUCUGAGAGGACGAUCAGCCACACUGGGACUGAGACACGGCCCAGACUCCUACGGGAGGCAGCAGUAGGGAAUCUUCGGCAAUGGGCGAAAGCCUGACAGAGCAACGCCGCGUGAAUGAUGAAGGCCUUCGGGUUGUAAAAUUCUGUUAUAAGGGAAGAACGACUCUAGUAGGAAAUGGCUAGAGUGUGACGGUACCUUAUGAGAAAGCCACGGCUAACUACGUGCCAGCAGCCGCGGUAAUACGUAGGUGGCGAGCGUUAUCCGGAAUUAUUGGGCGUAAAGAGCGCGCAGGUGGUUGAUUAAGUCUGAUGUGAAAGCCCACGGCUUAACCGUGGAGGGUCAUUGGAAACUGGUCAACUUGAGUGCAGAAGAGGGAAGUGGAAUUCCAUGUGUAGCGGUGAAAUGCGUAGAGAUAUGGAGGAACACCAGUGGCGAAGGCGGCUUCCUGGUCUGUAACUGACACUGAGGCGCGAAAGCGUGGGGAGCAAACCAGGAUUAGAUACCCUGGUAGUCCACGCCGUAAA